UACGUAGGGUGCAAGCGUUGUCCGGAAUUAUUGGGCGUAAAGAGCUCGUAGGCGGUCUGUCGCGUCGGCUGUGAAAACUCGGGGCUCAACUCCGAGCUUGCAGUCGAUACGGGCAGGCUAGAGUUCGGCAGGGGAGACUGGAAUUCCUGGUGUAGCGGUGAAAUGCGUAGAGAUGUGGAGGAAUACCGAUGGCGAAGGCAGCCCCCUGGGCCAAUACUGACGCUCAUGCACGAAAGCGUGGGGAGCAAACAGG
RNAcentral lists this ribosomal RNA (253 nucleotides) under uncultured bacterium. RNAcentral's name for it is "partial 16S ribosomal RNA". It matches the Rfam family "Bacterial small subunit ribosomal RNA", at positions 524 to 776 of the family's 1533-position model. The record is from RNAcentral.